GCGGCGGCGGCGGCGGGCCGGCCCCGCUCCUCCUCUCGGCGCCUCGCCGCUCCCUUCCCUCGCUGGCUCUUUCUCUCGCUCCCUCAUUUCUGUGUGGCUGGCCACCCCUCUCCCCAGUGCUGAGUGUCUGAGAGCCGUUGGCUGCUCUGAACCGUUUGGCUCCUUCCCUUAGUAACAGCUUUUACAUUCUGCCUCAAUUCCUCUUCAAUCUAAAUCACACACACACACAGAUAUUACUUUUUUUCCUCCUUCCUUGGGACUUAAUCUCUAAUCCCCCCCCCUUCUUUCCCCACCCUCCCCCUCCCCCCCCAGUCUCUGGCUUGGGAUAUAAUUGAAUAUCACAGCAGUAUUUGGUGGUUAUUUUUUUUCUUCCUCCUUCUGUUUUUUUUUCCUGUUUUUUUUUUCCUCCUCUUGGUGUGGACACCUCAGCUAAAAAAAUAUUAUACAUACAUAUAUGUGUAUAUAUAUAUAUACACACACAGACACACAUAUGCGUGUAUAUAUAUACCGAGCUGUAUAAAAAAAAAAGGAGGAGAGAAAAACAAGGGUGAAUUUCUUUUUUGCCUCCAUUCCAAAGGAAGGGGGGGGAGCAGCCACUCAGCCAUCAAUUGCAAGCAUCACCCUUCUGUGGCAAGAGGCACCUGAAAGGAAAACUUCCGCAUAUCAAUGCRCUGCCAAUGGUACAGUUGCCUAUAACGAAGGCUGUGUGUAAGGAUUUAAUGCAAGAAGGCACCCAACAGGACUAUUGCAGUUUAGCGGUGGCUGACAUGUCUCUCAAAACUCCGAGUAGGUUGUGCUAUAAAUAUAGCCUCUUGUUUUGCAAUUGGCAUUUUGUUAGUGGGUGGCUAACUGCUAAUUUGAAGGGGAAUAAACCAGAGAUCUAAU
Molecule: long non-coding RNA, 885 nt
Filed under: Apteryx rowi (Okarito brown kiwi)
Lineage: Eukaryota; Metazoa; Chordata; Aves; Apterygiformes; Apterygidae
Description: lncRNA (ENSARWG00000017193.1)
Source: RNAcentral